CACGAACGACUCUCGGCAACGGAUAUCUCGGCUCUCGCAUCGAUGAAGAACGUAGCGAAAUGCGAUACUUGGUGUGAAUUGCAGAAUCCCGUGAACCAUCGAGUCUUUGAACGCAAGUUGCGCCCCAAGCCGUCAGGCCGAGGGCACGCCUGCCUGGGUGUCACGCAU
RNAcentral lists this ribosomal RNA (168 nucleotides) under Schizolaena hystrix. Its description in RNAcentral is "5.8S ribosomal RNA". It matches the Rfam family "5.8S ribosomal RNA". From Rfam's summary of the family: 5.8S ribosomal RNA (5.8S rRNA) is a component of the large subunit of the eukaryotic ribosome. The record is from RNAcentral. RNAcentral also lists the same sequence under 1 other name. Lineage: Eukaryota; Viridiplantae; Streptophyta; Magnoliopsida; Malvales; Sarcolaenaceae.